AUUGAACGCUAGCGGCAUGCCUUACACAUGCAAGUCGAACGGAGUGCCGAACGGGUGCGUAAUGUAUAUGUACGUGCCCCGUCGCGGGGGAUAACUACGCGAAAUCGUAGCUAAUACCGCAUACUAUUGGACCGGCCGAUAUCGGAUUAGCUAGUUGGUGGGGUAACGGCUAACCAAGGCCACGAUCCGUAGCUGGUUUGAGAGGACGACCAGCCACACUGGGACUGAGACACGGCCCAGACUCCUACGGGAGGCAGCAGUGGGGAAUUUUGGACAAUGGGGGAAACCCUGAUCCAGCCAUCCCGCGUGUGGGAUGAAGGCCUUCGGGUUGUAAAGCACUUUUGGCAGGAAAGCGGUACCUGCAGAAUAAGCACCGGCUAACUACGUGCCAGCAGCCGCGGUAAUAC
This 407-nucleotide ribosomal RNA is filed under the name uncultured bacterium. RNAcentral's name for it is "partial 16S ribosomal RNA". It matches the Rfam family "Bacterial small subunit ribosomal RNA", at positions 30 to 526 of the family's 1533-position model. The record is from RNAcentral.